RNAcentral lists this ribosomal RNA (253 nucleotides) under uncultured bacterium. Its description in RNAcentral is "partial 16S ribosomal RNA". It matches the Rfam family "Bacterial small subunit ribosomal RNA", at positions 524 to 776 of the family's 1533-position model. The record is from RNAcentral.
UACGUAGGGUGCGAGCGUUAAUCGGAAUUACUGGGCGUAAAGCGUGCGCAGGCGGUUCGUUAAGUUCGUCGUGAAAGCCCCGGGCUCAACCUGGGAACUGCGAUGGAAACUGGCGGGCUUGAGUGUGGCAGAGGGGGGUGGAAUUCCGCGUGUAGCAGUGAAAUGCGUAGAGAUGCGGAGGAACACCGAUGGCGAAGGCAGCCCCCUGGGCCAACACUGACGCUCAGGCACGAAAGCGUGGGGAGCAAGCAGG